Molecule: long non-coding RNA, 940 nt
Filed under: Marmota monax (woodchuck)
Lineage: Eukaryota; Metazoa; Chordata; Mammalia; Rodentia; Sciuridae
Source: RNAcentral
CACCAGCAGCCUUCCCUCGUCACCUGCUGAUCCCGGGGAGAGGAGCUAAGCCUGGCAGGGCCGCGGCCGCUCGCUGUCACCUUGUGCCAUCUCGGGGACACUCUUCCACUUUGCAGUUUUCCUUCCGUGUUUCUCUCUCUGUUUGUCCCCAGCAACCCUCGGGCGCUUGGCCGGUCUGAGAGCAAGGGCAGGGACCCUACGGAAACAGGUCACAGCUGAGCUGCGAGGGUGACAGUCACAUGGUGCCAGGCCGGGCCACCUUCCUGCUGAGGUUGGCACGAGGCGUCCUGCUCCCUGUGUUGGAGGGAGGUCCAGGGCCCGCACAGGGUGGGCUUCGGUCAGGUCACCCUCUGCCAGGGCUGUGUGUCUCAGGACAGAAGCCACUUUUUGAACCGCCUUGAUGUCACCUCUGGACUUUCCUUGUAGCUCUGUGAGCAAGGAGGUGGUGGCACGUGGGGACAGGAUGUCGCAUGGGGACAGGGACGCUGUAGACUGCACUUGGCUGGCCUCCGCUGGGUCUCAUCAGAAUCUCUCACACACACCCCCCACUGGGCCACCGCUGCCCGUCACCUUGACACUGCGGCAGAUGUCGGGGAGGGAGCGACGUUUAUUGAGCACCUACUGCAUGCCAGGCUCUGCACUGAGGCGCUGUGUGUUUUCUGGUUUAACCUUGAUAUAGGUGCAUUCCCUGGGUGGCGGAGCCCCGGGCAGGUCCUGGCCCCUGGACCCGCAGGACAGUGACCUGAGGCCCUGGGUUGGCACUGGGUUCCGUCCCCGGCACCAAUAGCAUAGAAUAAUAAAUAAAGUGCACGACCCAGUGACAUUUAGAACCAUGCUGUUGUGCAACCUGCACGUGGUCUAGUUCCAGAACAUUUCAUCACCCCAAGGAGCCCGGGUCCCACGGGCAGCCACACCCCAACUGUCCCUCCCCGCCCCUGGC